UGGCGGCACGCUUAACACAUGCAAGUCGAACGGAGUUUGGAGCUUGCUCCAAAACUUAGUGGCGGACGGGUGAGUAACACGUGAGCAACCUACCUCUGAGAGCGGAAUAGCUUCUGGAAACGGAUGGUAAUACCGCAUGACAUUGUGAAGCCGCAUGACUUUACAAUCAAAUGAAUUUCGCUCAGAGAUGGGCUCGCGCCUGAUUAGCUAGAUGGUGAGGUAACGGCCCACCAUGGCGACGAUCAGUAGCCGGACUGAGAGGUUGAACGGCCACAUUGGGACUGAGACACGGCCCAGACUCCUACGGGAGGCAGCAGUGGGGAAUAUUGCACAAUGGGCGAAAGCCUGAUGCAGCGAUGCCGCGUGGAGGAAGAAGGUUUUCGGAUUGUAAACUCCUUUUUCAGGGACGAUAAUGACGGUACCUGAAGAAGAAGCUCCGGCUAACUACGUGCCAGCCGCGGC
RNAcentral lists this ribosomal RNA (462 nucleotides) under uncultured bacterium. Its description in RNAcentral is "bacterial SSU rRNA". It matches the Rfam family "Bacterial small subunit ribosomal RNA", at positions 37 to 518 of the family's 1533-position model. The record is from RNAcentral.